GACGAACGCUGGCGGCGUGCUUAACACAUGCAAGUCGAACGCUGAAGCUCAGCUUUUGUUGGGUGGAUGAGUGGCGAACGGGUGAGUAACACGUGAGUAACCUGCCCCCUUCUUUGGGAUAACGCCCGGAAACGGGUGCUAAUACUGGAUAUUCACUGGUCUUCGCAUGGGGGUUGGUGGAAAGGGUUUUUCUGGUGGGGGAUGGGCUCGCGGCCUAUCAGCUUGUUGGUGGGGUGAUGGCCUACCAAGGCUUUGACGGGUAGCCGGCCUGAGAGGGUGACCGGUCACAUUGGGACUGAGAUACGGCCCAGACUCCUACGGGAGGCAGCAGUGGGGAAUAUUGCACAAUGGGCGCAAGCCUGAUGCAGCGACGCCGCGUGAGGGAUGGAGGCCUUCGGGUUGUGAACCUCUUUCGCUCAUGGUCAAGCCGCAACAAGGGUUGUGGUGAGGGUAGUGGGUAAAGAAGCGCCGGCUAACUACGUGC
RNAcentral lists this ribosomal RNA (484 nucleotides) under uncultured bacterium. RNAcentral's name for it is "partial 16S ribosomal RNA". It matches the Rfam family "Bacterial small subunit ribosomal RNA", at positions 28 to 508 of the family's 1533-position model. The record is from RNAcentral.